CUCCAACGCCCAAAAGCCAAACGCCUUAUGCCUCGCGAUUUCCUUCUCCAGCGUCGAAGCCCUGGCCUCCUCCGCAGCCAAAGCCCUCGUCGCCUGCAGCCUCCCUCCGAAGCCGUCUUCCUCCCACGACCUCCCUCCAGCGCCGCCUCCUUCCCUCCGACCUACAUCGCCGCCUCCUCCCAGCGUCGGGGACCUCCAGCGCCGCCCUCGUCGCCUGCGGCCUCCCGUCCUCCACCUCCUGCCGACCUCCAGCGCCGCCUCUUGUUUUGUUUCCAGCAAACCUAUUUUGGUAUUCUCCAGCGACCUCCAUCCUUGCCUCUCUCGACCUCCAACCUCCACUCUGAAGAUUAAGUAAAACUCUUUCCUCUCUCCCAUGGAUUGCUUCUCUUCCUCUUUGUAUGUCCAACCCUAGCCCUAAUCUUCCGCAAUCCCACCUUUUCUCACCCUCAAAAAUCCCGCCGCCGCUCACGCCCCUUGCUGCCGCCCUUGCUCCUUCGUCGUCGCCUACCUUCUCUAUUUCACAACGCCACCAGGCCCUCCAUCGCAUCCUUUCCUCCAUCGCUCAACUGCAUUGAUCGCCUGGAAAACGGCAGCCUCUUGCGGUUUGCUACUGGAGCAGGCCGGAGCAGAUUGACGUAAAUCUAAGUGCUUCCCCUGAGCGACGAUCCCAAAAGGUAGCAAACUUUAUUGUGGACUGAGAUGUUCCAGCUUGUCCGAAGAAAUGAGGAUAAGUCCAGCAUGAUUUGGCUUACCCAUGGAACUGCAGGAAGAAGAAAAAAAAAACAUUCUGGUCCUUUUGCGUUUGGCAUGGGAGGUAUUGGAAAGAUAGAACCUAUAAAGUAAGUGAAGUGGACCAAUCCGACGUCCAAGGGCACAGUUCUAUCCAAAGUGACGCUACUAGAGACGUGAGAGUUCAAAGAAUGGUAAGCUCUCCGUUGAUCCCGCUGUUGACAAAGGGAAAUCUCUACUAUUUGAAUCCAGUGGCAGUAAAGAGAAAGAUUCUCAGGAGUUUGCCCUCAUCAGUCCUGCCACCAGUAAAGGGAAAUAUAUGAUCACGGAAAAUGAUUCCCAGGGCACAUCUGUUAUUUUUAAUGUCGACUAUGAAAUUCGUCAAGUCAGGGAGUUCUCUUAUGAAGUGGUUAUCAAGGAGGACGUAGAUAAGAGAAUAGAAAAGGGUGUGAAAGAACUACAAGAACUGUUAAAAAAAAGGACAGUCCGGUGCACGAAGUUCCCGUCAUAUUGGGUUCCAGGAAGGAUUCAUUGUAUGUAGUCUUAUCUUGUUUUUUGUAAGAGGUUAUUUUCAAAAUUCGAACCCGUGAUAUUUUGAUCACAUGAUAAUAACUUUACCGUUGUGUUAAGGUUUUCCUUCAAUUA
This is a long non-coding RNA of Zingiber officinale, 1374 nucleotides long. RefSeq lists it as uncharacterized. NCBI's taxonomy places the organism in Eukaryota, Viridiplantae, Streptophyta, Magnoliopsida, Zingiberales, Zingiberaceae. The record is from RefSeq and is a predicted model, not a curated record. The transcript is spliced from 6 exons.